GUGCUCGCUUCAGCAGCACAUAUACUAAAAUCGGAACGAUACAGAGAAGAUUAGCACGGCCCUUGUGCAAGGACGAUGCACAAAUUUGUGAAGCAUUCCAUAAUCUU
This is a small nuclear RNA of Octodon degus (degu), 107 nucleotides long. The record is from Ensembl. Lineage: Eukaryota; Metazoa; Chordata; Mammalia; Rodentia; Octodontidae.